RNAcentral lists this transfer RNA (73 nucleotides) under Myotis lucifugus (little brown bat). It matches the Rfam family "tRNA". Rfam says of the family: Transfer RNA (tRNA) molecules are approximately 80 nucleotides in length. Their secondary structure includes four short double-helical elements and three loops (D, anti-codon, and T loops). Lineage: Eukaryota; Metazoa; Chordata; Mammalia; Chiroptera; Vespertilionidae. The record is from Rfam by way of RNAcentral.
GCUGGUGUUGCUCAGUGGGUAGAGCGUCAGCCUGCAAACUGAAGGGUCCUGGGUUUGAUUCCAGUCAAGGGCA